UAAAAUACCGAAAACCGAAUUACCGAACCGAACCGGCUAUUUCGGUAUUUCGGUAUUCGGUAUUCGGUACUUGGGUCCGGUAUUCGGUACCGGAAUAUUAAAUUUCGGUAUUUCGGUUUCGGUUUCGGUAUUUAUUAAUUAUCCCGUUCGGUAUUCGGGAUUUACCGAAUACCGAAUUAUUUCUGUUGGGCUCCUAAAAAUUCCUUUUAAUUUUUAAACAUAAAGGGCUAUAGGCCCAUUCCUAUAAUUUAAUCCAGCCCAAUUGUCUUCAACAUACCCUAACCCUAACAGACUAACACAUUACACACUGUAUUCAUCUCAAUACUUCACUACUAUUGAAGUUCUCCUUCUGCCAUUCACGCCGCCUUCAGGCUUCAGCCCUUCAACUUCACUACUACAGUUUGCCCCAUGGAAUCCAUCAGAAGUGCUUAUAACUUCAGCUGAUUCUCGUAUCAGAAUUUUUGACGGAUCAGAUAUGAUCUAUAAGUUUAGAGGUUUCCGAAAUACAAGCAGCCAAAUUGCAGCUUCAUUUAGUUCGGACGAAAAGUAUGUGAUAAGUGCAAGUGAAGACUCUCAUUUUUAUAACCUCGUGAUAAGUAUGCAUCUUGAUGUAGACAAAAUAGAGCACAAGAACUGAGUUUGACAAAUAUUAAUCUUGUUGGAAUAUUUAUCCAAAUGUUUCCGACGUUUUCAACCAUGACAAAAUGUACAUUACAUUAACUUAUUGUUGAAAGUGGUUGUUGCCUACAUUCUAUCUUCAAUUGAUAGUUGUGGAGUAAAUGAA
Solanum dulcamara is the source of this 784-nucleotide long non-coding RNA. RefSeq lists it as uncharacterized. The transcript has 3 exons. Lineage: Eukaryota; Viridiplantae; Streptophyta; Magnoliopsida; Solanales; Solanaceae. The record is from RefSeq and is a predicted model, not a curated record.